GAUGAACGCUAGCGGCAGGCUUAAUACAUGCAAGUUGAGGGGCAGCAUGAUAUACGCGAGUAUAUUGAUGGCGACCGGCGGACGGGUGAGUAAUAGGUAGGAGACCUACCUCAUACAGGGGGAUAGCAUAGAGAAAUCUGUGGUAAUACCCCAUGAGGUUAUAUGAAUAGAGGCAUAUAAUCAAAGCAUAAGCGAUUAUGCGGUAUGAGAGGGGCCUACUGACCAUUAGCUAGUUGGUGAGGUAAGGGCUCACCAAGGCGAAGAUGGUUAGGGGUUUUGAGAGAGAGACCCCCCACAUUGGAACUGAGAGACGGUCCAGACUCCUACGGGAGGCAGCAGUAGGGAAUAUUGGGCAAUGGGCGAAAGCCUGACCCAGCCAUGCCGCGUGAAGGAAGACGGCCUUAUGGGUUGUAAACUUCUUUACUACGCGAAUAGAGGUUAGUACGAGAUACUAAUAGGAAGGUAGUGUAGUAAAAAGCACCGGCUAACUCCGUGA
RNAcentral lists this ribosomal RNA (496 nucleotides) under uncultured bacterium. RNAcentral's name for it is "bacterial SSU rRNA". It matches the Rfam family "Bacterial small subunit ribosomal RNA", at positions 28 to 508 of the family's 1533-position model. The record is from RNAcentral.